RNAcentral lists this small RNA (2080 nucleotides) under Drosophila pseudoobscura pseudoobscura. Its description in RNAcentral is "GA32474". Lineage: Eukaryota; Metazoa; Arthropoda; Insecta; Diptera; Drosophilidae. The record is from RNAcentral.
GCAGAGGCGGUGCGGCGGCCGUCACUUGUUCUAGCCUGCCGACCGCUGCAUGAUCGCCGCUGUCCAAGGUGUACUUUAAAUAGGGUGAGGCCAAGUAGGAAGGAGUAUUCUUGGCAAUACAUUUGACUGAAGAAAAUAGGGGCUUACGCUCCUUCGUUGCACUAGGGCCUCAAGACCUAAUCAGGCUCAGACACUUUUAAGUAUUUAUUGAAAUAAAACAAUAAUCACUCAAGGCAAAGGAUAUAUCUUCGCUUAUGGGACAUUUUCAUAGAGUACCCCUUUAAUACAUUCUUUCGAAGGUCAUUGCUAGACACAAACAAAAACGAGAGAUUGAACUCGAAGACCAAAACAAAUGCCGCACCUUGCGCUAAAUGCACCUUGGACACUGCCAUGUAUGCGCACCUACCCCACAGAUUAGACGUCAGUGUUAGCGUCUCAGUCAGCGUCGCAGUCGGCGAUUGUAGAAGGAUGAGAAGGGGGAAGCGUUCGUUUUGCAGUUGUCGCGCGCUCCGCACUUUGUCACUGCGGGAGAGAGGCUCUCACUUGGUCGUUUCCCUCUCUCGCCCUCCCGCGCCCACAAUCUGUUACUGUUAGCGAUUCCCAAUUGGAUUCCUGGUUGCUUCCGGUCGCUGCUCGUCUCGUUCGUUCGCGUUUGCCAAAUGCCUUGUUUUAUAUUUGAUUCACUUUUGAUUAAUGCGUGAAUGAAGUAUGGUGUUUGUGGGGGGUGGGAGGAUGGGGGAUGGGGGAGACAGCGGGAUAUUACAAUUUGAUGCAUUUACAAUGUUAGUAAUUAGUAAUCCGCUUAUCAGACAGAUCGAGAACACAUGAGUCGACGGGGGGGGUUCAAGAGCGGGGAGAACAUUCACAAGGGCAAGGACAAGGGCGCGGGCCGAGGCUGAUGUUUGCUGCUAAGCAAGUGGCUUAGUGAUGGGGUUUCAGAUGCAACGAUGAGUGACUAUCGUUUGUUAACUUACGAUGAAUGCAUUUUGUUCCUGUUUUUUUUUUUAAAUUUAUUUAUAGUUUUGCACUCUCUGUAUCUCUCUGUAGAUCUUUGACACUUGUACUCAUAAAUAUUGCAGGAUGCGACUGCUGACCUGGGAUGCUCUGAGACUGGAGAGAUGUAUUGAAACGGGGAAGCACAGUGGGCAAUUCUUUGCAGAGACUGACUGCGCAUAUCCAUCGGCGAUUGAUCUGCUUUUAUAGGCCCUGCCCUGCUGGUGUCCAGUGCGCCAGACGAGACUCCCGACUCCAAAAACCGACGGAGAGAGAGAGAGAUGUUCGUCGCUGUCGGAUGUGUGACUCGAUUUUUUGAUUAUUUUUAUGGCGUAUAAAACAAACACGAGUGGAGAAUAUGUGCUAAUUACCUUUUCAAGAUUCUCACAUUUUAUUAUUGCGAGUAUUUGGCGUCCGUCGGACGGAUUUACACAGCCCAACAACAAACAAAAACUACCGAUUUCACGGUUCAAGCCGCACGUGAACCUCUCUUGUCCGGGGUCCGGGUCCGCGUCCGCGUCCGUGUCCGUGCCAAGUGCGUAGUCAGCGGAUAGGCUGCGUCUCAAUGCGUAGUGCCCUACAGCCAGCGGAAAAUAUUGGUUGUGCUCGAUGGAUUAGAGGUGUGAAAAUGCUGAUUGGCAGGCAAUUUUUUUUAAGGGCAAAUAGGCUAUUGUUCGAGAUGUUUGUUGAUUGGAUGAAGGUCGGUGUUACGGCUAUAAGCAAUCAAAACAGGUUCUAAGUGGAAAUAGAACGAAAGACUUGCUACUAUUUUGGUGUGAUCCUAUCUUCGCAAAAACCUUUUUGCUUUGGGUGUAACGAACGGCAGUCGAUCUAAAUUUAAACGCAAAUAAAAAAAGACAUAAAGACGGACGGACGGACGGCCGUCUGGCGGAGCGGAGUCGGAGAGGAAGUUGGCCAAAUAAAUUGCGACAAGCUACAUUUUAUUUCAAUUUUAAAUGCACAAUUAACGUAUGUAUCGGCAUCUACAAACAUGCCUACCCAUCUCCAUCCCCAUCCCCAUCCCCCCAUACAUUCGACAGUACAUAAAAUAAACGGAGCACACAAACGUGAAGUAAUUUUCGAUUAA